GGGUCGCGGCAGCCUACGUUACCCUGCGGGCUGUGGGCUUCACCCCGACUUCGGCCGGCUCGGAAAAGGGGAACUUCCUGGACCCGCAAUUGCACCUCAGGAUCAUUGAAUUGGAGGUUAAGAGGGGCUUUUCUCCAUCACUGAGGACCAGAUCGGGACUGGCCUUACUCGAGUUCUCACAGCCAGUUGACUUCAGACUGCUGUCACCAGAGCCACUGGACAUGGAUCACUUGGACCCUGUCAGCAUGCCUUCCCUUCCUCAGGGGCUGGGCACUGGGGACACAGGGCGGUGCCAGCCUUAGGGAAAACAGAGAUGAGACACUGGUCCCUGCUCUUGGGGGAUCCCCCCAAUCUAUCAUGCUCGCUGUGUCAUCCAUCAAGAUGCCUCCAGUACCCACACAAGGCCCGGCACACAGUAGCAGGCUUUCUGUGUAUAGGAACACAUGAAUCAACCAAAGGACAAAGGAAUGAACAGGUGAACAAAGGAAAGCCCAGUGAAAAACUGAAUAAUGGAAGGUAAGAAAGAAUGAAUAAAGAAAUUCAAGAACUGAUGACUGAAUAAGCAAAUGAAUGGAAGAACAAAAUAACAACAUUGCUUCUCAGGUGGGGCACCGUGACUGACUCCUGUAAUCCCAUUGCUUUGGGAGGCCGAGGCGGGCGAAUCACUUGCGGUCAGGAGAUCGAGACCAGCUUGGCCA
Rhinopithecus roxellana (golden snub-nosed monkey) is the source of this 698-nucleotide long non-coding RNA. RefSeq lists it as uncharacterized. Lineage: Eukaryota; Metazoa; Chordata; Mammalia; Primates; Cercopithecidae. The transcript is spliced from 4 exons. The record is from RefSeq and is a predicted model, not a curated record.